UACGGGGGGGGCAAGCGUUGUUCGGAAUUACUGGGCGUAAAGGGCUCGUAGGCGGCCAACUAAGUCCGACGUGAAAUCCCCAGGCUUAACCUGGGAACUGCGUCGGAUACUGGAUGGCUUGAAUUCGGGAGAGGGAUGCAGAAUUCCAGGUGUAGCGGUGAAAUGCGUAGAUAUCUGGAGGAAUACCGGUGGCGAAGGCGGCAUCCUGGACCGACAUUGACGCUGAGGCUCGAAAGCAUGGGGAGCAAACAGG
This 253-nucleotide ribosomal RNA is filed under the name uncultured bacterium. Its description in RNAcentral is "partial 16S ribosomal RNA". It matches the Rfam family "Bacterial small subunit ribosomal RNA", at positions 524 to 776 of the family's 1533-position model. The record is from RNAcentral.